CAUUAAUCUUAUUUCUCACCAGCUCUGCAUGGCUGCAGAGGUUUUGGGUCUGCUCUUGCUCACUUGCACAAAAAGUAAUGGUGCUGUGGGUCAGACAGGAACUGGGAUAGGAGAGACCUUCCCUGUGUUUCAGGCUCCUGCUCCAUGCUGCAUGGUUCAGUGCUCUCUUUAGCAGUUUCACUGCCUCGGCUCCCCAGCCCAAGCCCAUACAAGAAACUAACAGGAAAGAAACCACGUCAGCAGUCUCCCACCGGGCUUUAUUCCCUGCAGGCUCUGUGCAUCAAAGGGCAGGCAGCAAAAUGGAGCAACCCAGUGCUCAGUAGGAGCAAAAAUAAGGGAAGAGGGGGUGAUCUCUCAUUAUGGGAUCUGUGCUUAUUGCUGGGGACCUCCUGUCUCACCCCAAACAAGCGACGCCCAUGGAGCUGCUCUCGAUUUCAUGUCUUGAUAACCACCAGCAGUGCUGCCGAAAGCAGGCACUGAAAGGAUUGGAGGGAAGAGCACCAGGAGAGAAGUCUUAUUUACAGCAUUAGGAGCAAAACAGCAUGAUGGAUGUGCCAGGGCAUCAUUUCAUCAGAAUAUCAAGCCGUGAGGUUGGCUACUGCCAUUCAUUCUUGUCAUUUGAAUCCUCUUGAUGUGUAAGAUGACAUUAAAAUCCCAAGAGAGAAAAAUGCUGCAGCUCUCCGCAUCGAAGCCCGGGACGGUGCGUUGCUGAAGGUGCCUUUGCUGAUCCAUCCUCCAAGGAUAACCCAUAGAGAACCAACCCAAGGACAGGACACAGUGACUUCAGAUCUCUCUGUGGGACACAUUGCAGCUGCUGGACAAGAGUGUUUCCCACCAUAGCCAGUGCCAUGGCAGACCCUGCACACUGUGCCUCUGUGGGAGGGAAUCCACCCCUAUGGGAGGGAAGCAGAACCAGGUGCAGGCUGCACCCUUCCUGUGGUUUGACCCAACCUGAGAUGCUCAGAGCCACGGACUGGGUGAGAGAAGCUGAACCCGCAGCUUUUCUUUUCUUUCCAGCAUGGCUUUGCACAGUGCUGCUCUUUUCCUUUUGAAGCACAGCGUUUCACCCACAGGGUGAUGGGGAGGUUGUGCAUUACUGGAAGGGAGAUUCAAUAAGGAAGACCUCAGUGCAGCUGUCACCAGCACUGUGGUGACACCGGGUGAGGGCUGCUGGGGGAGAUGCUCACCGGACAGAGGUACUUCCACAUCGCCCUGACCCUCUGUGUGAGGUUUGUACCUGCAGAGAAGAGGGCAGCUGGGAUUGCUGCAUUUGGGACAGCCAGCAUCCAGGCUGUGGGUUUUCUGCGUAAACCUUUUGUAAUCACACCGGGCAAACUGCAGCUUUAUUGGCUUUCCAGCUGCUCAGGCAGGUUGUGAAGUAAGAGGUUUCAGAUCAGCUGCUCCCAGCCCCUCAGACACCACACAGACCUCACUGCAGCGGCAGACAGGCAGCUAAGGAUGCUCAUAAAAGUCCAAAACCAUAUCCUUUCAGUCUGAGCAGCGUCACGUUUGAUAUCAGACCUUAUAUUUAUUAGUUCAGUUGUUUUUCGCUGUUGAAAAGUUUGUGUGCUCUCUGUUUUUCUCUCCGUUCACAUCGACAGAAAGUGAGAAAAUGGGAUCGUUCAGAAAGGACUACAGCAAAUAAUUCAGAGCUGCUGUGUGUCAUAUAUCUCACCAAGGCCCGACUUUCAAGCCAAAUAGAAAGAAAGUUAGCUGGGGGGGGGUGUAAAGCUUGAAUAGCACAUCACAGUGUAAAGUUUAUGAAUUAUUUUAAGUGCAGCCCAUGAAAUGGUAUUGGUUUUGUAAAAUUAUCUCAACAACAAAUGGUCUUGUUCAAGGCUUUCCAAAACGGGCGCUCGUACAUCAGGCACUCCCUGGCACGGAUUCGAGAGCGGUGACAGCAGAUCUGCAUUGGAAAUGAGCAGAUCACAUAACGUCUUAGGGAAAGGCAAAGUCUGGGCAUCAGAUGUUCCUGGGUCUUUAUUGUAUUUCUGAGAAUUUGCUGUGAAAAUGCA
RNAcentral lists this long non-coding RNA (2015 nucleotides) under Gallus gallus (chicken). Its description in RNAcentral is "lncRNA (ENSGALG00010022869.1)". The record is from RNAcentral. Lineage: Eukaryota; Metazoa; Chordata; Aves; Galliformes; Phasianidae.